CAAGGAAUAGUUUAAGUUUUAGAAUUCUAGCUUUGGGUGUUAGAGGUGGGAUUUGUCUCUUCCUUGA
This 67-nucleotide transfer RNA is filed under the name Typhlomys cinereus (Soft-furred tree mouse). RNAcentral describes it as "tRNA-Pro". Lineage: Eukaryota; Metazoa; Chordata; Mammalia; Rodentia; Platacanthomyidae. The record is from RNAcentral.